This 429-nucleotide ribosomal RNA is filed under the name uncultured archaeon. Its description in RNAcentral is "bacterial SSU rRNA". It matches the Rfam family "Archaeal small subunit ribosomal RNA", at positions 474 to 903 of the family's 1478-position model. The record is from RNAcentral.
UACCUGCAGCUCGAGUGGUAACCGCUAUUAUUGGGCCUAAAGCGUCCGUAGCCGGUUUGGUAAAUAUCUGGGUAAAUCGUGAGGCCUAACUUCACGAAUUUCGGAUAGACUGCCAGACUUGGGAUCGGGGGAGGUCAGAGGUACUCCAGGGGUAGCGGUGAAAUGUUGUAAUCCUUGGAGGACCACCGGUAGCGAAGGCGUCUGACUAGAACGAGUCCGACGGUGAGGGACGAAGCCCUGGGGCGCAAACCGGAUUAGAUACCCGGGUAGUCCAGGGUGUAAACGAUGUGGGCUUUGUAUUGGAGGUCCCACGUGGGCGUCCAGUGCAGAAGAGAAGUUGUUAAGCCCACCGCCUGGGAAGUACGGUCGCAAGGCUGAAACUUAAAGGAAUUGGCGGGGGAGCACAGCAACGGGAGGAGCGUGCGGUUU